UACGUAGGGCGCAAGCGUUAUCCGGAAUUACUGGGCGUAAAGAGCUCGUAGGUGGUUUGUCGCGUUGUUCGUGAAAACUCACAGCUCAACUGUGGGCGUGCGGGCGAUACGGGCAGACUUGAGUACUGCAGGGGAGACUGGAAUUCCUGGUGUAGCGGUGGAAUGCGCAGAUAUCAGGAGGAACACCGAUGGCGAAGGCAGGUCACUGGGCCGCAACUGACGCUGAGGAGCGAAAGCAUGGGGAGCGAACAGG
Molecule: ribosomal RNA, 253 nt
Filed under: uncultured bacterium
Lineage: Bacteria
Description: partial 16S ribosomal RNA
Rfam family: Bacterial small subunit ribosomal RNA
Source: RNAcentral